RNAcentral lists this ribosomal RNA (460 nucleotides) under uncultured bacterium. RNAcentral's name for it is "partial 16S ribosomal RNA". It matches the Rfam family "Bacterial small subunit ribosomal RNA", at positions 338 to 795 of the family's 1533-position model. The record is from RNAcentral.
CCUACGGGUGGCAGCAGUGAGGAAUAUUGGUCAAUGGGCGUACGCCUGAACCAGCCAAGUCGCGUGAGGGAAGACGGCCCUAUGGUUUGUAAACCUCUUUUGGCAGGGAGCAAUGCCGGCCACGUGUAGCCGGAGGGAGAGUACCUGCAGAAUAAGCAUCGGCUAACUCCGUGCCAGCAGCCGCGGUAAUACGGAGGAUGCGAGCGUUAUCCGGAUUUAUUGGGUUAAAAGGGUGCGUAGGCGGAGUGUUAAGUCAGCGGUAAAAUGUCGGGGCUCAACCCCGAACGGCCGUUGAAACUGGCGAUCUUGAGGGGGCGAGAAGUAUGCGGAAUGCGUGGUGUAGCGGUGAAAUGCAUAGAUAUCACGCAGAACUCCGAUUGCGAAGGCAGCAUACCGGCGCCCAACUGACGCUGAGGCACGAAAGCGUGGGGAUCGAACAGGAUUAGAUACCCCAGUAGUC